GACGAACGCUGGCGGCGUGCUUAACACAUGCAAGUCGAACGGAAAGGCCCUGCUUUUGUGGGGUGCUCGAGUGGCGAACGGGUGAGUAACACGUGAGUAACCUGCCCUUGACUUUGGGAUAACUUCAGGAAACUGGGGCUAAUACCGGAUAGGAGCUCCUGCUGCAUGGUGGGGGUUGGAAAGUUUCGGCGGUUGGGGAUGGACUCGCGGCUUAUCAGCUUGUUGGUGGGGUAGUGGCUUACCAAGGCUUUGACGGGUAGCCGGCCUGAGAGGGUGACCGGCAAAAGUGGGAAGGAGAGACAGCCGGGAGUCCUCGGGGAGGAGGGAGUGCGGGGUGGUGGAGCAGGCGCGGAGGUCUGAUGCAGCAAUGCCGCGUGCGGGAUGAUGGCCGACGGUAUGGAAACCAGAAGCGCCGGUGAAGAAGCGUGAGGGACGGGAAUAGGUAGAGAAGAACCGGACACAUACGGG
RNAcentral lists this ribosomal RNA (468 nucleotides) under uncultured bacterium. RNAcentral describes it as "partial 16S ribosomal RNA". It matches the Rfam family "Bacterial small subunit ribosomal RNA", at positions 28 to 507 of the family's 1533-position model. The record is from RNAcentral.